Molecule: non-coding RNA, 515 nt
Organism: Pelobates cultripes (western spadefoot toad)
Lineage: Eukaryota; Metazoa; Chordata; Amphibia; Anura; Pelobatidae
Source: the annotation of a GenBank genome assembly
GCCUGUAUAACCAUAUCUCUUUCAAUAUGUUAUUUUCUAUAUAAGUUCAAAAUGUUGCUGAAUCAUGGGAACAUAGAUCCCUUUUAGUUCAUUUAGCCUUGUUCUACAGUUUAUGUUUGUGCACAUGCUUUUUAAUAUAAUUUGAGGCACUUGCAGGUCUUGAACUCAGGACCUAAUAUUACUAGAUACACUAGCAUGUCUGCUUGGACAGACAAGCUGGCCAUCUCAUUCCCAUACAGGCAGUGUGCUACUCAUUGCGGUCGUCACGGGGUUCCUCCCCCGUGAUGACGCAAUGUAUUUCAACACUAUCCGACGGUAUCUCCCUUUUUCCCCUCCCUAUCAUCUAUGCGUCUCAUAAUCCGAAGACGUAUGCUGUCCAAAGAACAACACGUGACGCGGAAAUUAUUAGCCGCGUGUCACGUGACAUUUUUUAAUCUAAGAUUUUAUGUACUUGCAAGCUUCGUUUUUAAGUAUUAAUGUUGUCUAUCACCUCUUAUCAUAUAUGAGAAUAGCCC